This 301-nucleotide ribosomal RNA is filed under the name uncultured bacterium. RNAcentral's name for it is "partial 16S ribosomal RNA". It matches the Rfam family "Bacterial small subunit ribosomal RNA", at positions 509 to 808 of the family's 1533-position model. The record is from RNAcentral.
CAGUAGCCGCGGUAAUACGUAGGUGGCAAGCGUUGUCCGGAAUUAUUGGGCGUAAAGCGAGCGCAGGCGGUUAGAUAAGUCUGAAGUUAAAGGCUGUGGCUUAACCAUAGUACGCUUCGGAGACUGUUUAACUUGAGUGCAAGAGGGGAGAGUGGAAUUCCAUGUGUAGCGGUGAAAUGCGUAGGUAUAUGGAGGAACACCGGUGGCGAAAGCGGCUCUCUGGCUUGUAACUGACGCUGAGGCUCGAAAGCGUGGGGAGCAAAUGGGAUUAGAUACCCCCGUAGUCCCUGUCUCUUAUACC